ACUCAUACCUGACGGGAGAUACCAUGAUCAUAAAAGUGGGUAAGGCUCAUCCAUUGCACUUCGGGUGUACUGAUCCCUGUGAUUUCCCCAAAUGUGGGAAAAUCAACUGUCUACUUUAUGGUAGUAAGGUAAAGGUAAAGGUUCCCCUUG
RNAcentral lists this small nuclear RNA (150 nucleotides) under Pogona vitticeps (central bearded dragon). Its description in RNAcentral is "U1 spliceosomal RNA (ENSPVIG00000018958.1)". It matches the Rfam family "U1 spliceosomal RNA". Rfam says of the family: U1 is a small nuclear RNA (snRNA) component of the spliceosome (involved in pre-mRNA splicing). Its 5' end forms complementary base pairs with the 5' splice junction, thus defining the 5' donor site of an intron. Lineage: Eukaryota; Metazoa; Chordata; Lepidosauria; Squamata; Agamidae. The record is from Rfam by way of RNAcentral.